AUUGAACGCUGGCGGCAUGCCUUACACAUGCAAGUCGAACGGCAGCGGGGGAGAAGCUUGCUUUUCCUGCCGGCGAGUGGCGAACGGGUGAGUAAUACAUCGGAACGUGCCCUGUAGUGGGGGAUAACUAGUCGAAAGAUUAGCUAAUACCGCAUACGACCUGAGGGUGAAAGUGGGGGACCGUAAGGCCUCAUGCUAUAGUAGCGGCCGAUGUCUGAUUAGCUAGUUGGUGGGGUAAAGGCCUACCAAGGCGACGAUCAGUAGCUGGUCUGAGAGGACGAUCAGCCACACUGGGACUGAGACACGGCCCAGACUCCUACGGGAGGCAGCAGUGGGGAAUUUUGGACAAUGGGCGAAAGCCUGAUCCAGCAAUGCCGCGUGUGUGAAGAAGGCCUUCGGGUUGUAAAGCACUUUUGUCCGGAAAGAAAUGGCUCUGGUUAAUACCUGGGGUCGAUGACGGUACCGGAAGAAUAAGGACCGGCUAACUUCGUGCCAGCAGCCGCAGUAA
RNAcentral lists this ribosomal RNA (508 nucleotides) under uncultured bacterium. RNAcentral describes it as "partial 16S ribosomal RNA". It matches the Rfam family "Bacterial small subunit ribosomal RNA", at positions 30 to 523 of the family's 1533-position model. The record is from RNAcentral.